RNAcentral lists this small RNA (1349 nucleotides) under Pongo abelii (Sumatran orangutan). Its description in RNAcentral is "retained intron". Lineage: Eukaryota; Metazoa; Chordata; Mammalia; Primates; Hominidae. The record is from RNAcentral.
AUGUUUAGAGCUUGUGAUGUUCAGAGCUGGCUCUGAUGAGGGCUCUGGGGAAGCCUCUGAUUGCAAAUCCUGGAGAGAGUAGCCAGGUGUCUCCUACACCAACCCACGUCCCUCCUUCCCCAUACUUCGGGCCCUUGGGAGCUCACCAAGCCUUCCCACCCCACUGCAGCUGGCAGCCAAGGAGGCGAAGCUUCGAGACCUGGAGGACUCACUGGCCCGUGAGCGGGACACCAGCCGGCGGCUGCUAGCGGAAAAGGAGCGGGAGAUGGCCGAGAUGCGGGCAAGGAUGCAGCAGCAGCUGGACGAGUACCAGGAGCUUCUGGACAUCAAGCUAGCCCUGGACAUGGAGAUCCACGCCUACCGCAAGCUCCUGGAGGGCGAGGAGGAGAGGCUACGCCUGUCCCCCAGCCCCACCUCGCAGCGCAGCCGUGGCCGUGCUUCCUCCCACUCAUCCCAGACACAGAGUGGGGGCAGCGUCACCAAAAAGCGCAAGCUGGAGUCCACCGAGAGCCGCAGCAGCUUCUCACAGCACGCACGCACUAGCGGGCGCGUGGCCGUGGAGGAGGUGGACGAGGAGGGCAAGUUUGUCCGGCUGCGCAACAAGUCCAAUGAGGACCAGUCCAUGGGCAAUUGGCAGAUCAAGCGCCAGAAUGGAGAUGAUCCCUUGCUGACUUACCGCUUCCCACCAAAGUUCACCCUGAAGGCUGGGCAGGUGGUGACGAUCUGGGCUGCAGGAGCUGGGGCCACCCAUAGCCCCCCUACUGACCUGGUGUGGAAGGCACAGAACACCUGGGGCUGCGGGAACAGCCUGCGCACGGCUCUCAUCAACUCCACUGGGGAAGAGGUGGCCAUGCGCAAGCUGGUGCGCUCAGUGACUGUGGUUGAGGACGACGAGGAUGAGGAUGGAGAUGACCUGCUCCAUCACCACCACGUGAGUGGCAGCCGCCGCUGAGGCCGAGCCUGCACUGGGGCCACCCAGCCAGGCCUGGGGGCAGUCUCUCCCCAGCCUCCCCGUGCCAAAAAUCUUUUCAUUAAAGAAUGUUUUGGAACUUUACUCGCUGGCCUGGCCUUUCUUCUCUCUCCUCCCUAUACCUUGAACAGGGAACCCAGGUGUCUGGGUGCCCUACUCUGGUAAGGAAGGGAGUGGGAACUUUCUGAUGCCAUGGAAUAUUCCUGUGGGAGCAGUGGACAAGGGUCUGGAUUUGUCUUCUGGGAAAGGGAGGGGAGGACAGACGUGGGGCAUACCCGCCCUGCCUCUCUCCCCCAUUCUUGUUGCAUGCAUAUCCUCUCAUUUCCGUCAUUUUUCCUGCAAGAAUGUUCUCUCUCAUUCCUGACCGCCCCCCCACUCC